AUACAGAGGGUGCGAGCGUUAAUCGGAAUUACAGGGCGUAAAGCGCGCGUAGGCGGCUUAUUAAGUCAGAUGUGAAAUCCCCGGGCUCAACCUGGGAACUGCAUCUGAUACUGGUAAGCUAGAGUUUUGGAGAGGGAAGUAGAAUUUCAGGUGUAGCGGUGAAAUGCAUAGAGAUCUGAAGGAAUACCAGUGGCGAAGGCGACUUCCUGGCCAAAAACUGACGCUGAGGUGCGAAAGCGUGGGUAGCAAACGGGAUUAGAAACCCCAGUAGUCC
Molecule: ribosomal RNA, 274 nt
Filed under: uncultured bacterium
Lineage: Bacteria
Description: partial 16S ribosomal RNA
Rfam family: Bacterial small subunit ribosomal RNA
Source: RNAcentral